GACGAACGCUGGCGGCGUGCUUAACACAUGCAAGUCGAACGGAAAGGCCCUGCUUUUGUGGGGUGCUCGAGUGGCGAACGGGUGAGUAACACGUGAGUAACCUGCCCUUGACUUUGGGAUAACUUCAGGAAACUGGGGCUAAUACCGGAUAGGAGCUCCUGCUGCAUGGUGGGGGUUGGAAAGUUUCGGCGGUUGGGGAUGGACUCGCGGCUUAUCAGCUUGUUGGUGGGGUAGUGGCUUACCAAGGCUUUGACGGGUAGCCGGCCUGAGAGGGUGACCGGGCAGAUUGGGGCAGAGGUACGGGCGGGGCGGCAGCGGGAGGCAGCAGUGGGGAGUAGUGCACAAUGGGCGGAGGCUGGAAGACGCUGCGCGGGGGGGGGGAUGACGGCGUGCGGGUAGGAAAACGCGCACGCCUGGGAAGAAGCGUGAGUGACGGUGAUGGGGAAAGAAGCAACGGCUCACUACGU
This 467-nucleotide ribosomal RNA is filed under the name uncultured bacterium. RNAcentral describes it as "partial 16S ribosomal RNA". It matches the Rfam family "Bacterial small subunit ribosomal RNA", at positions 28 to 506 of the family's 1533-position model. The record is from RNAcentral.